GACGAACCUUGCUAACGUUAUUCGGAAUUACUGGGCUUAAAGGGUGCGUAGGCGGUGCAGCAAGUCGGGUGUGAAAGCCCUCAGCUCAACUGAGGAAUUGCGCCCGAAACUGCUGUGCUUGAGGAAUACAGAGGUAUGCGGAACUUAGGGUGGAGCGGUGAAAUGCAUAGAUAUUAUCAAGGACACCGAUUGCGAAGGCAGCUUACUAAGGAGUUACUGACACUGAGGCACGAAAGCGUGGGGAUCAAACAGG
Molecule: ribosomal RNA, 253 nt
Filed under: uncultured bacterium
Lineage: Bacteria
Description: partial 16S ribosomal RNA
Rfam family: Bacterial small subunit ribosomal RNA
Source: RNAcentral